GACGAACGCUGGCGGCGUGCUUAACACAUGCAAGUCGAACGGAAAGGCCCCCUUGUGGGGUACUCGAGUGGCGAACGGGUGGGUAACACGUGAGUAACCUACCCUUGACUUUGGGAUAACUUCAGGAAACUGGGGCUAAUACCGGAUAGGAGCUCCUGCUGCAUGGUGGGGGUUGGAAAGUUUCGGCGGUUGGGGAUGGACUCGCGGCUUAUCAGCUUGUUGGUGGGGUAGUGGCUCACCAAGGCUUUGACGGGUAGCCGGCCUGAGAGGGUGACCGGCCACAUUGGGACUGAGAUACGGCCCAGACUCCUACGGGAGGCAGCAGUGGGGAAUAUUGCACAAUGGGCGGAAGCCUGAUGCAGCAACGCCGCGUGCGGGAUGACGGCCUUCGGGUUGUAAACCGCUUUCGCCUGUGACGAAGCGUGAGUGACGGUAAUGGGUAAAGAAGCACCGGCUAACUACGUG
RNAcentral lists this ribosomal RNA (465 nucleotides) under uncultured bacterium. Its description in RNAcentral is "partial 16S ribosomal RNA". It matches the Rfam family "Bacterial small subunit ribosomal RNA", at positions 28 to 507 of the family's 1533-position model. The record is from RNAcentral.